Molecule: ribosomal RNA, 253 nt
Filed under: uncultured bacterium
Lineage: Bacteria
Description: partial 16S ribosomal RNA
Rfam family: Bacterial small subunit ribosomal RNA
Source: RNAcentral
UACGUAGGUGGCAAGCGUUAUCCGGAAUUAUUGGGCGUAAAGAGCGCGCAGGUGGUUAAUUAAGUCUGAUGUGAAAGCCCACGGCUUAACCGUGGAGGGUCAUUGGAAACUGGUUGACUUGAGUGCAGAAGAGGGAAGUGGAAUUUCAUGUGUAGCGGUGAAAUGCGUAGAGAUAUGGAGGAACACCAGUGGCGAAGGCGGCUUCCUGGUCUGCAACUGACACUGAGGCGCGAAAGCGUGGGGAGCAAACAGG